CCAGACUCCUACGGGAGGCAGCAGUAGGGAAUUUUGCGCAAUGGGGGAAACCCUGAACCAGCAACGCCGCGUGAGGGAAGACGGUUUUCGGAUUGUAAACCUCUGUCCUCUGUGAAGAUAAUGACGGUAGCAGAGGAGGAAGCUCCGGCUAACUACGUGCCAGCAGCCGCGGUAAUACGUAGGGAGCAAGCGUUGUCCGGAUUUACUGGGUGUAAAGGGAGCGUAGACGGUUACGCAAGUCUGGAGUGAAAGGCGGGGGCCCAACCCCCGGACUGCUUUGGAAACUGUAUAACUGGAGUGCAGGAGAGGUAAGUGGAAUUCCUAGUGUAGCGGUGAAAUGCGUAGAUAUUAGGAGGAACACCAGUGGCGAAGGCGGCUUACUGGACUGUAACUGACGUUGAGGCUCGAAAGCGUGGGGAGCAAACAGGAUUAGAUACCCGAGUACG
Molecule: ribosomal RNA, 446 nt
Filed under: uncultured bacterium
Lineage: Bacteria
Description: bacterial SSU rRNA
Rfam family: Bacterial small subunit ribosomal RNA
Source: RNAcentral